AAUGUACAAUCCUAACUGACAGGAUAUCGAAGAACCAACGUACAACCCCCACUAGUAGGGUAUCGAAGUGCCAACGUACAAUCCCCACUAGUAGGGUAUCGAAAUGACAACAUACAACCCCCACUGGUAGGGUAUCGAAAUAUAGUUUGGCUGCGAGUCCAAAUCCAUUUCACUUGAAAACUCUUUUUCUCAAAAUAUGUUCGGUGUUUCAAAUCGUAAGAUGCGAUAUUGAAAUCAAUCAAACAUAAUCCAUCUUAAAACCCAUAUGUUCAACCAAGAAUCAUACAAUAUUUUAGAAAAGACAUAUAUAAUAAUAAAACAACAUGCAGCAAAUUCAUAAAUAAAAAAUAAUUUAAUUUAAAAAAUAUUUAUAAUUU
Molecule: long non-coding RNA, 377 nt
Filed under: Phoenix dactylifera (date palm)
Lineage: Eukaryota; Viridiplantae; Streptophyta; Magnoliopsida; Arecales; Arecaceae
Description: long non-coding RNA (PDAC_LNC019060)
Source: RNAcentral